RNAcentral lists this long non-coding RNA (1762 nucleotides) under Musa acuminata (dwarf banana). RNAcentral's name for it is "long non-coding RNA (MACU_LNC006642)". The record is from RNAcentral. Lineage: Eukaryota; Viridiplantae; Streptophyta; Magnoliopsida; Zingiberales; Musaceae.
GGUAGCUGAAGCCGCCUACAUCAGAAUUCAGUGAACCAUGAAAGGGGUAGAAGAAUCAUCCAGGGUGUUCUCAUGAGGAGAUCAUAGAAGAAAACGUGGAGGAUGAUGUGAGGAUCACAGAGAGAAAGAGAGAGAGAUAGAGAGAGAGAGAGAGGUUUCGUGCCAAGGAAUCAUUUGGGUGCAUGUUCAUUGAUAUGGGAGAACGUGGCCUUUGCCACAAGCAAAUCCCAUCUCACUUCUUCUUCUCCCCUCUCUAUGUAUCAUCUCCUGUUACCUAAUAUAUUGCGUAUAUAUAUAUAUACACACACAUCAGUCCCGUCUCAAAACCCUAUGUGCAAUUAGCUCCUCCUCUCUCUCUCUCUCUCUGUACAUUCCUUUCCUUGCCUGAGUUCAUGCCCAAGGCCUUACAAGUUCAUCUUCUAAAAAAGGAAGAAGUGGCCUUGAAAGGAAAAUAAAUCCCUAGCCAUGGAAGCAGCUACUACUCUACAGGCCCUUAACCUCAUCGCCACAACCCGAAGACCAGCGGAAGCACAUCGACCUCGAGCCAGGCAAAGGCAUGCACCGAGAAGAAGGCAGCAAGCGGGCAUGAGCAAGAGGGUUGGAGGUAGCAUCGGUGCAUGGAAUAGGAGGAGGCCAACCACCACCGCGAGCUACAUGGCGAAGAAGAUGAGAACGCUGCGACUGCUCGUCCCCCACGGCGAGUCGAUGGAGCUCGACGGACUCCUCCGCGGAGCAGCCGACCACAUCCUGCACCUGCAACUACAGGUGAAGGUGAUGCAGACGAUGGCUACUGCACUCUCACCAACCGAAGCUGAUGAACGAUCUCUGGCCUGGUGAAGCACUUGAUCCUCUCGGCAGCAAGCAGCCAUCAAGUCUUUCUUGUGCUCGUUUUCUUCUUCUUAUCUUCUUCGUGUUCUUUGGGACUGUUGAUAUGGACGUAUCCCACGAGGACACGCGUGCAUGCAGUAAGCGAGAUACGAGUAAUAUCUUACAAUGCCUCGUUUACCCGUCGUCACAUUCGAGCAUUCAUGUGGAUUUGAUGUAAUCGGCAAUUGCGAGCCUUUCGAUCCUCUUAUGAAACUUAAGCAAUUCCUCCAUCCAAAUUGUAGCCAUAUCCAAACUUAAGAAAUCAAAUAAAACAUAGAUCAAGUGAAAGUUUUAAUUUUAAGAAAAAUUAAAAUGACCGCAAAUGCAUAUCAAUCGAAAAGGUUUAGAUAGCAGCAAUUCCUAAUUCUUGUUGUUAUUUACGGAGCAGUUGUAUUCGUUCAAUUCUAAUUACCGCAAAUGCAUGUUCCGAAGGUUCUCUUCCCUUCGCUUCUUGCUGGUGUUGAGCUCUACGUUGAAUUGAAAGAAGAUAAUGGACAGGUUAUCAAGAUUGUCUAACCCUUGAUCGAGUUGAGCUCCUUACGAGCUAUCAUCUGCCUCCGCACUCGAGCAAUGGUUUGAGGGGCUGUUAUACGAUGGGAGGAUUGUGUGAAGCUCGUCGUCGUGGCUUCAGGGAAGGGAUGAUGUUUAUGUUCUACGUGAGGACACCAUCUUCUCGGGUUUGAACGGUUCGACAGCCGCCAUCUUCCGCUUCUUUCUUAUCUCUAUCUCGCUCUCUCACACCACGCGCUGAUCAACCGUAAUCCAAUACGGGUCGCCGCUGGCCCUCCGUCUUAUUAUGAAUCCAGACCCUACAUUCUCCAUCGGACGGCCGAUGUCUUUUCUAAAAAUGUCCCACAUCCGUUUAUCCAACGGUCCUGCUUCUCCCUCAGUCCCA